AACACAAAUUGUACUUUUCAGUAAUCUGGAAAGUAUGCUUGGUUGAGGGUCAUUAAAAUAACAUUCGUGAAUUUUUUCGCGGAUUUGAGUUUUCCAGCAUUUAUUAUUAAAUAAAUGUUGGUAACUUUAAAAUUAUUUAUAACUUGGUACAAGUUGAAAACGUGCUAUAUGUGUGGUUCGCUGACAACUUGUCCAUCUUUAUAUAUUAUGCGCGUGCUUGGUUUUUUUAAAGCUGUGUGCGAGUAUAUAUUUUUUUAUGACCUCAGCUCAAGCAAGAAUACCCGCUGAACUUAA
This 294-nucleotide unclassified non-coding RNA is filed under the name uncultured Diversispora. RNAcentral's name for it is "sequence contains ITS2". Lineage: Eukaryota; Fungi; Glomeromycota; Glomeromycetes; Diversisporales; Diversisporaceae. The record is from RNAcentral.